AUUUCCCAACUAAACUUUAAGAAGCCAAAGUUGUAGUCGUCCGGACCAGGGCUUUUCGACCCCUCACAUGCCCAUAUAGCGUCCUUGAUUUCCUCCUUAGAAAACCUUCUCGUAAGCAUGACAUUAUCUUCCUCUGAUAUGUUAUUGAACCGAAUAUCAUCCAAUUUCACUUGAAUGUUUUCCCCCUCCCUGAAUCUCAUAUCGAAA
This 207-nucleotide long non-coding RNA is filed under the name Phaseolus vulgaris (common bean). Its description in RNAcentral is "long non-coding RNA (PVUL_LNC004478)". Lineage: Eukaryota; Viridiplantae; Streptophyta; Magnoliopsida; Fabales; Fabaceae. The record is from RNAcentral.